This 484-nucleotide ribosomal RNA is filed under the name uncultured bacterium. RNAcentral's name for it is "partial 16S ribosomal RNA". It matches the Rfam family "Bacterial small subunit ribosomal RNA", at positions 30 to 507 of the family's 1533-position model. The record is from RNAcentral.
AUUGAACGCUGGCGGCAGGCCUAACACAUGCAAGUCGAGCGGAUGAAGGGAGCUUGCUCCUGGAUUCAGCGGCGGACGGGUGAGUAAUGCCUAGGAAUCUGCCUGGUAGUGGGGGAUAACGUCCGGAAACGGGCGCUCAUACCGCAUACGUCCUGAGGGAGAAAGUGGGGGAUCUUCGGACCUCACGCUAUCAGAUGAGCCUAGGUCGGAUUAGCUAGUUGGUGGGGUAAAGGCCUACCAAGGCGACGAUCCGUAACUGGUCUGAGAGGAUGAUCAGUCACACUGGAACUGAGACACGGUCCAGACUCCUACGGGAGGCAGCAGUGGGGAAUAUUGGACAAUGGGCGAAAGCCUGAUCCAGCCAUGCCGCGUGUGUGAAGAAGGUCUUCGGAUUGUAAAGCACUUUAAGUUGGGAGGAAGGGCAGUAAGUUAAUACCUUGCUGUUUUGACGGUACCAACAGAAUAAGCACCGGCUAACUUCGUG